UGCCUACGGGGGGCAGCAGUGAGGAAUAUUGGUCAAUGGGCGGGAGCCUGAACCAGCCAAGCCGCGUGAGGGAAGAAGGUACAGCGUAUCGUAAACCUCUUUUGUCAGGGAACAAAGGCGGGGACUAGUCCCCGGAUGAGGGUACCUGAAGAAAAAGCAUCGGCUAACUCCGUGCCAGCAGCCGCGGUAAUACGUAGGGGGCAAGCGUUAUCCGGAAUUACUGGGUGUAAAGGGAGCGUAGACGGCUGUGCAAGUCUGGAGUGAAAGGCGGGGGCCCAACCCCCGGACUGCUCUGGAAACUGUAU
This 305-nucleotide ribosomal RNA is filed under the name uncultured bacterium. RNAcentral describes it as "bacterial SSU rRNA". It matches the Rfam family "Bacterial small subunit ribosomal RNA", at positions 335 to 638 of the family's 1533-position model. The record is from RNAcentral.